RNAcentral lists this unclassified non-coding RNA (279 nucleotides) under Hevea brasiliensis (rubber tree). Lineage: Eukaryota; Viridiplantae; Streptophyta; Magnoliopsida; Malpighiales; Euphorbiaceae. The record is from RNAcentral.
GGAGGAUGAGGGAUACGGCAAAAAUGAAAACUUUUAGAUCUGCGUUAGUAGUAAUUGGUGCGGUAGCAUUUGGGUAUCUGAAUUUGCAGAUCAUGUUCAAACCCUUUCUAGAGAAAACACAAGCACAGCAAGCUCUUCUACAAUCUCAAUCAUCACAACAACAAAACCAGACUGAUUUUCAUCAAUCUGAGUCAGAACAAAACUGAUGACCCUUUCAAUUUGUUCUCAAUUUUCAGCUCUGUAGCUCUUUUUUUUAAAAAAAAAUCAAUAUUUAAGCUU